GUCUAAUGUACAGUGGUGUUUAGACUACUAACUAUCACAACCAGUUAUAGGUUCCUUUGUUCUCCACUCCCACUGCUUCACCUGAUUAGCCUUUA
RNAcentral lists this small RNA (95 nucleotides) under Otolemur garnettii (small-eared galago). Its description in RNAcentral is "Y RNA (ENSOGAG00000022446.1)". The record is from RNAcentral. Lineage: Eukaryota; Metazoa; Chordata; Mammalia; Primates; Galagidae.